This 531-nucleotide ribosomal RNA is filed under the name uncultured bacterium. Its description in RNAcentral is "bacterial SSU rRNA". It matches the Rfam family "Bacterial small subunit ribosomal RNA", at positions 338 to 841 of the family's 1533-position model. The record is from RNAcentral.
CCUACGGGAGGCAGCAGUGGGGAAUUUUGGACAAUGGGCGCAAGCCUGAUCCAGCAAUGCCGCGUGAGUGAAGAAGGCCUUCGGGUUGUAAAGCUCUUUUGUCAGGGAAGAAACGGUGAGGGCUAAUAUCCUUUGCUAAUGACGGUACCUGAAGAAUAAGCACCGGCUAACUACGUGCCAGCAGCCGCGGUAAUACGUAGGGUGCAAGCGUUAAUCGGAAUUACUGGGCGUAAAGCGUGCGCAGGCGGUUUUGUAAGUCUGAUGUGAAAUCCCCGGGCUCAACCUGGGAAUUGCAUUGGAGACUGCAAGGCUAGAAUCUGGCAGAGGGGGGUAGAAUUCCACGUGUAGCAGUGAAAUGCGUAGAUAUGUGGAGGAACACCGAUGGCGAAGGCAGCCCCCUGGGUCAAGAUUGACGCUCAUGCACGAAACGACGGUGGGGAGGACGAAACGAAGGAGUAGUAUACCGUACGGUAGUACCGACCGACCCGUAACCGACUGUACUACUAGUUGUUCGGUUCGUUAUUAGUACUU